Molecule: long non-coding RNA, 469 nt
Filed under: Coffea arabica (coffee)
Lineage: Eukaryota; Viridiplantae; Streptophyta; Magnoliopsida; Gentianales; Rubiaceae
Description: long non-coding RNA (CARA_LNC005039)
Source: RNAcentral
AAAAGUUUGAAGCAAUUUUUCACUCAUGUGACAAUAACUACAAAAUCAAGAAGCAAUAUUUCAUGAAAAAAAGGUAAGAAAACAAGUAACAAAAACACUUGAUCAAAUGCUUCAAGUGUAUAAACCAAAAAGCUAAAAACUAUCAGUUACAAAUAAAUCCUAACUCAAGAGGCCAACUGUAUAAACCAAUUUCUGUUUCUCCCGUUUACACCCCUACUCCAACCGCCUCGUCAUGUUUCUGUCUCUGUUUUAUGUUCUUCAGUAAAAAAAUAGAAACUUAAAAGAAAAAAAUUCCAGUAAAAAACACAUAUCUCCAAAUACCCCUUUGUUUGUUCAUAUCAAUUCUUCACUUAGGUAGCUGCGCAUUGAGCCGUAAGGAGAGUUGAUAGCCACGAAUUGUAUAUGUUCAGGCAUAACUCUUCAGAUCAGAGGUCAAGAGAAAGUACUUCAAUGAAGCAGCAGAUACAAC